RNAcentral lists this ribosomal RNA (292 nucleotides) under uncultured bacterium. RNAcentral describes it as "partial 16S ribosomal RNA". It matches the Rfam family "Bacterial small subunit ribosomal RNA", at positions 505 to 796 of the family's 1533-position model. The record is from RNAcentral.
GUGUCAGCAGCCGCGGUAAUACGGAGGGUGCAAGCGUUGUCCGGAUUUAUUGGGUUUAAAGGGUGCGCAGGCGGGAAAGUAAGUCCGUGGUGAAAGACGAUCGCUUAACGAUUGCAGUGCCAUGGAUACUGUUUUUCUUGAAUAAUGUUGAGGCGGGUGGAAUUGACCGUGUAGCGGUGAAAUGCAUAGAUAUGGUCAAGAACUCCAAUUGCGAAGGCAGCCCGCUGGGCAUUGAUUGACGCUCAGGCACGAGAGUGUGGGGAUCAAACAGGAUUAGAUACCCGGGUAGUCC